CCUACGGGAGGCAGCAGUGAGGAAUAUUGGUCAAUGGACGAGAGUCUGAACCAGCCAAGUAGCGUGAAGGAUGACUGCCCUAUGGGUUGUAAACUUCUUUUAUCAAGGAAUAAAACGAGGCACGUGUGCCUUUUUGCAUGUACUUUAUGAAUAAAGCUCGGCUAACUCCGUGCCAGCAGCCGCGGUAAUACGGAGGAUGCGAGCGUUAUCCGGAUUUUUUGGGUUUAAAGGGUGCGUAGGGGGGCUGUACAGUCAGCGGUAAAAGCCCGGGGCUCAACCCCGGCGAGCCGUUGAAACUGGCUGGCUUGAGAUGUCGAGAGGUAUGCGGAAUGCGCAGUGUAGCGGGGAAAUGCUUGGAUAUUGCGCAGAACUCCGAUUGCGAAGGCAGCAUACCGGCGGCGAUCUGACGCUGAGGCACGAAAGCUUGGGUAUCGAACAGGAUUAGAUCCCGAGUAGUC
RNAcentral lists this ribosomal RNA (458 nucleotides) under uncultured bacterium. RNAcentral describes it as "partial 16S ribosomal RNA". It matches the Rfam family "Bacterial small subunit ribosomal RNA", at positions 338 to 795 of the family's 1533-position model. The record is from RNAcentral.